GCCGCUAUGGUGAAAUUGGUAGACACGCUGCUCUUAGGAAGCAGUGCGUCCGAGUGGCGGCA
This 62-nucleotide transfer RNA is filed under the name Allium macranthum. Its description in RNAcentral is "tRNA-Leu". The record is from RNAcentral. Lineage: Eukaryota; Viridiplantae; Streptophyta; Magnoliopsida; Asparagales; Amaryllidaceae.